GUAGGUGGCAAGCGUUGUCCGGAAUUAUUGGGCGUAAAGCGCGCGCAGGGCGGUCCUUUAAGUCUGAUGUGAAAGCCCACGGCUCAACCGUGGAGGGUCAUUGGAAACUGGGGGACUUGAGUACAGAAGAGGAAAGCGGAAUUCCAAGUGUAGCGGUGAAAUGCGUGAGAUUUGGAGGAACACCAGUGGCGAAGGCGGCUUUCUGGUCUGUAACUGACGCUGAGGCGCGAAAGCGUGGGGAGCAAACAGGAUUAGAUACCCUGGUAGUCCACGCCGUAAACGAUGAGUGCUAAGUGUUAGGGGGUUUCCGCCCCUUAGUGCUGCAGCUAACGCAUUAAGCACUCCGCCUGGGGAGUACGGCCGCAAGGCUG
Molecule: ribosomal RNA, 371 nt
Filed under: uncultured organism
Description: partial 16S ribosomal RNA
Rfam family: Bacterial small subunit ribosomal RNA
Source: RNAcentral